RNAcentral lists this ribosomal RNA (1112 nucleotides) under Pseudomonas syringae. RNAcentral's name for it is "bacterial SSU rRNA". It matches the Rfam family "Bacterial small subunit ribosomal RNA", at positions 368 to 1476 of the family's 1533-position model. The record is from RNAcentral. Lineage: Bacteria; Pseudomonadati; Pseudomonadota; Gammaproteobacteria; Pseudomonadales; Pseudomonadaceae.
ACAAUGGGCGAAAGCCUGAUCCAGCCAUGCCGCGUGUGUGAAGAAGGUCUUCGGAUUGUAAAGCACUUUAAGUUGGGAGGAAGGGUUGUAGAUUAAUACUCUGCAAUUUUGACGUUACCGACAGAAUAAGCACCGGCUAACUCUGUGCCAGCAGCCGCGGUAAUACAGAGGGUGCAAGCGUUAAUCGGAAUUACUGGGCGUAAAGCGCGCGUAGGUGGUUUGUUAAGUUGGAUGUGAAAUCCCCGGGCUCAACCUGGGAACUGCAUCCAAAACUGGCAAGCUAGAGUAUGGUAGAGGGUGGUGGAAUUUCCUGUGUAGCGGUGAAAUGCGUAGAUAUAGGAAGGAACACCAGUGGCGAAGACGACCACCUGGACUGAUACUGACACUGAGGUGCGAAAGCGUGGGGAGCAAACAGGAUUAGAUACCCUGGUAGUCCACGCCGUAAACGAUGUCAACUAGCCGUUGGGAGCCUUGAGCUCUUAGUGGCGCAGCUAACGCAUUAAGUUGACCGCCUGGGGAGUACGGCCGCAAGGUUAAAACUCAAAUGAAUUGACGGGGGCCCGCACAAGCGGUGGAGCAUGUGGUUUAAUUUGAAGCAACGCGAAGAACCUUACCAGGCCUUGACAUCCAAUGAACUUUCCAGAGAUGGAUUGGUGCCUUCGGGAACAUUGAGACAGGUGCUGCAUGGCUGUCGUCAGCUCGUGUCGUGAGAUGUUGGGUUAAGUCCCGUAACGAGCGCAACCCUUGUCCUUAGUUACCAGCACGUUAUGGUGGGCACUCUAAGGAGACUGCCGGUGACAAACCGGAGGAAGGUGGGGAGGAGGUCAAGUCAUCAUGGCCCUUACGGCCUGGGGUACACACGUGCUACAAUGGUCGGUACAAAGGGUUGCCAAGCCGCGAGGUGGAGCUAAUCCCAUAAAACCGAUCGUAGUCCGGAUCGCAGUCUGCAACUCGACUGCGUGAAGUCGGAAUCGCUAGUAAUCGCGAAUCAGAAUGUCGCGGUGAAUACGUUCCCGGGCCUUGUACACACCGCCCGUCACACCAUGGGAGUGGGUUGCACCAGAAGUAGCUAGUCUAACCUUCGGGGGACGGUACCACGCUUAUCUACGAGU